AUGUGCAACAAGAGUGAAGAAAACUAAAUGAGCAUGCAAAUGUUUGACUAUUAGUAAAGAGCUCACCAGUACAGACACAGGGAGCUGGUUGGUCGGCUUGAAAAUUCUCUCAGACCAAGAGAAGCCAAACAAGUUUCUGCACCCACUGAGAACGUGCUUCUGCCAGACGAGGAGAAACAAGUUCUGGGUGUGGCUUCCUAUGAUGCUCCAUUAGGGAAGCCUCCAUCUGCAGUCAAGCACAGAUUAGGACAUUUCCCACGAUCAGUUUUCUGACUGACUUUUGGAGAAGGAGAAGGAGGAGGAGGAGGAGAAGAAGAAGAAGAAGAAGAGGAAGAGGAAGAGGAAGAGGAAGAAGAAGAAGAUCAAUGCUGCAGGC
Molecule: long non-coding RNA, 376 nt
Filed under: Homo sapiens (human)
Lineage: Eukaryota; Metazoa; Chordata; Mammalia; Primates; Hominidae
Description: HSALNT0071970
Source: RNAcentral